Octodon degus (degu) is the source of this 104-nucleotide small nucleolar RNA. RefSeq annotates it as small nucleolar RNA U13. The record is from RefSeq and is a predicted model, not a curated record. The transcript has a single exon. Lineage: Eukaryota; Metazoa; Chordata; Mammalia; Rodentia; Octodontidae.
AUUCUCUUUGAUCCUUCAGUGUGAUGAUUGGGUGUUCAUGCCUUAUGCAUGAAAUGUGCCUCCUUCAAAUCUUGUUAUGACAUGGAGACAUUACCCAUCUGAUG